GGACAGGAGGGUGAUUGGUCACCCAAAGAUUGACCCGCUUGAUGUGACUCAUUUGAUUGGUUCAGGGGGUUGCCCCUCCCUCAGUCACCACUCCACAUGCAUCCCUCCUGAAACUGUGUGCUUGGGAGGAUGGACUUCCCCAAAGAUAAAGGAGAUAGAGGAGGAGGAAUCCUGAGUCAAGGGCACAUGAGUAACCAUGCUCCCCUGCUGUUGAUAGAACUCCAAAGGAGCUUUCAAGGUCCCUUUGGAGGAGGAUGUAAGUGGGGCUUCUAGGACUCCAGAUGCAUUUAAAUGAGGUGCUGCAUGUGGCAAGCUGCCUUUCUUG
Neotoma lepida (desert woodrat) is the source of this 325-nucleotide non-coding RNA. It matches the Rfam family "7SK RNA". From Rfam's summary of the family: 7SK was discovered as an abundant small nuclear RNA in the mid-70s but a possible function has only recently been suggested. The record is from Rfam. NCBI's taxonomy places the organism in Eukaryota, Metazoa, Chordata, Mammalia, Rodentia, Cricetidae.